RNAcentral lists this ribosomal RNA (463 nucleotides) under uncultured bacterium. RNAcentral's name for it is "bacterial SSU rRNA". It matches the Rfam family "Bacterial small subunit ribosomal RNA", at positions 43 to 507 of the family's 1533-position model. The record is from RNAcentral.
CAGGCCUAACACAUGCAAGUCGAGGGGUAGAGGUCUUCGGGACUUGAGACCGGCGCACGGGUGCGUAACGCGUAUGCAAUCUACCUUAUACAGGGGAAUAGCCCAGAGAAAUUUGGAUUAAUGCCCCAUAGUGUUAUCGAAUCGCAUGGUUUGAUAACUAAAGUUCCAACGGUAUAAGAUGAGCAUGCGUCCCAUUAGUUAGUUGGUAAGGUAACGGCUUACCAAGACAAUGAUGGGUAGGGGUCCUGAGAGGGAGAUCCCCCACACUGGUACUGAGACACGGACCAGACUCCUACGGGAGGCAGCAGUGAGGAAUAUUGGUCAAUGGGCGCAAGCCUGAACCAGCCAUGCCGCGUGCAGGAAGACGGUCCUAUGGAUUGUAAACUGCUUUUAUACAGGAAGAAACCCUCCCACGUGUGGGAGCUUGACGGUACUGUAGGAAUAAGGAUCGGCUAACUCCGUG